UUGUCCGGAUUUACUGGGUGUAAAGGGCGUGUAGCCGGGAGGGCAAGUCAGAUGUGAAAUCCACGGGCUCAACUCGUGAACUGCAUUUGAAACUACUCUUCUUGAGUAUCGGAGAGGCAAUCGGAAUUCCUAGUGUAGCGGUGAAAUGCGUAGAUAUUAGGAGGAACACCAGUGGCGAAGGCGGAUUGCUGGACGACAACUGACGGUGAGGCGCGAAAGCGUGGGGAGCAAACAGGAUUAGAUACCCUGGUAGUCCACGCUGUAAACGAUGAAUACUAGGUGUGCGGGGACUGACCCCCUGCGUGCCGCAGCUAACGCAAUAAGUAUUCCACCUGGGGAGUACGAUCGCAAGGUUGAAACUCAAAGGAAUUGACGGGGGCCCGCACAAGCGGUGGAUUAUGUGGUUUAAUUCGAAGCAACGCGAAGAA
RNAcentral lists this ribosomal RNA (428 nucleotides) under uncultured bacterium. RNAcentral describes it as "bacterial SSU rRNA". It matches the Rfam family "Bacterial small subunit ribosomal RNA", at positions 541 to 968 of the family's 1533-position model. The record is from RNAcentral.